This 493-nucleotide ribosomal RNA is filed under the name uncultured bacterium. RNAcentral describes it as "partial 16S ribosomal RNA". It matches the Rfam family "Bacterial small subunit ribosomal RNA", at positions 28 to 507 of the family's 1533-position model. The record is from RNAcentral.
GACGAACGCUGGCGGCGUGCUUAACACAUGCAAGUCGAACGGAAAGGCCUGCUUUCCCUUGUGGAUUGCGGGUACUCGAGUGGCGAACGGGUGAGUAACACGUGAGUGAUCUGCCCCCAACUUGGGUAUAAGCCUGGGAAACUGGGUCUAAUUCCCGAUAGGACUGCAGGGUGGUGCCUGUGGUGGAAAACGAUUUUCUAGUGGUUGGGGAUGAGCUCGCGGCCUAUCAGCUUGUUGGUGGGGUAAUGGCCUACCAAGGCGGCGACGGGUAGCCGGCCUGAGAGGGUGGACGGCCACAUUGGGACUGGGAUACGGCCCAGACUCCUACGGGAGGCAGCGGUGGGGAAUAUUGAACAAUGGGCGGAAGCCUGAUGCAGCGACGCCGCGUGGGGGAUGACGGCCUUCGGGUUGUAACUCCUUUCGACCGCGAGGAAGCCACCUGGUUGGAAGGGUGGUGACGGUAGUGGUAGAAGAAGCACCGGCUAACUACGUG